AAGGAUUUAAGUUAAACCCAAACUAAUAGCCUUCAAAGCUGUAAAUAGAGAUUUACUGCUUUAAGCCUUG
This 70-nucleotide transfer RNA is filed under the name Craspedophorus nobilis. Its description in RNAcentral is "tRNA-Trp". Lineage: Eukaryota; Metazoa; Arthropoda; Insecta; Coleoptera; Carabidae. The record is from RNAcentral.